Molecule: long non-coding RNA, 794 nt
Organism: Canis lupus familiaris (dog)
Lineage: Eukaryota; Metazoa; Chordata; Mammalia; Carnivora; Canidae
Exons: 3
Source: RefSeq, a predicted model, not a curated record
UCUCCCCGCGGGCGUGACGGCCGGGCGCGGGGCCUGUGACCCCCGCAGGGACCCUCGGGCCUCGGGCGAAGAACGGAGCCGGGAAGGGGCACAGGAGCCCGGCUUUAAACCUCAAAGACCAGAAUUCACUUACCAGAGCGCGACCUUCGCUUCCGGAAAUCUCCUUCCGGAUAAGCCCAUGUUUCCCCCAGAGGUAAAGCUGGAGGAGUGGGGACUGCUGUGGCCAAACAGGACCUAUGUGGCUGUCGGGGUAUCCAUUCCUAAGAGACACCUGGGGAGCCUGCGACCCCUUCAGAAAGAAGAGAGACACAGACAUGGGAAAAGCCAUGAUGGAAGAGACACAGCCAAACCCAGGGGAUCCCUGAAGCCUCCAGAAACCGAAGGAAUCAGGAAGGACCCUCCUCUGGAGUCUCAGCACUUUCAAAGUGGGGAGCUGCCACGGUGGGGGCAGGGCUGUGGUCCCUGAGGGCUCCGUGUCCCCUGCGUGGUGGCUGGGAGCCGCUCCCACAGGAUGCUCACCAGCAUGCUGGCUUAUAGGAGACUGCGCGGCACUGGACACCCACGCUUGCUCUACCAUCACAACCUUCUCUUGGGUUCCAGUCAGCAUAGGGUGUCUCUGGGGCCAAGGGGAGCUGGGUUUUCAGCCUCCAUGGGGGGCCUUUGGGUGCUGAUUAAGAGUGCAAGUUAGGGACACCUGGGUGGCUCAGUGGUUGAGUGUCUUCAGCUUAGGGUGUGAUCCUAGAAUUCUGGGAUCGAGUCCUGCAUCGGGCUCCCCACAGGAAGCCUGUUUCUCC